GCGCCUAUCGCCUAAUGGAUAAGGCACCAGUCUUCGGAACUGGUUAUUGGUGGUUCGAGCCCACCUAGGCGCA
This 73-nucleotide transfer RNA is filed under the name Candidatus Omnitrophota bacterium. Its description in RNAcentral is "tRNA-Arg". It matches the Rfam family "tRNA". From Rfam's summary of the family: Transfer RNA (tRNA) molecules are approximately 80 nucleotides in length. Their secondary structure includes four short double-helical elements and three loops (D, anti-codon, and T loops). Further hydrogen bonds mediate the characteristic L-shaped molecular structure. tRNAs have two regions of fundamental functional importance: the anti-codon, which is responsible for specific mRNA codon recognition, and the 3' end, to which the tRNAs corresponding amino acid is attached (by aminoacyl-tRNA synthetases). tRNAs cope with the degeneracy of the genetic code in two manners: having more than one tRNA (with a specific anti-codon) for a particular amino acid; and 'wobble' base-pairing, i.e. permitting non-standard base-pairing at the 3rd anti-codon position. Lineage: Bacteria; Pseudomonadati; Candidatus Omnitrophota. The record is from RNAcentral.